RNAcentral lists this ribosomal RNA (407 nucleotides) under uncultured bacterium. RNAcentral describes it as "partial 16S ribosomal RNA". It matches the Rfam family "Bacterial small subunit ribosomal RNA", at positions 29 to 526 of the family's 1533-position model. The record is from RNAcentral.
AUUGAACGCUGGCGGCAGGCCUAACACAUGCAAGUCGAGCGGAGCGGCGGACGGGUGAGUAAUGCCUAGGAAUCUGCCUGGUAGUGGCGGAUAACGUCCGGUAACGGGCGCUAAUACCGCAUACUAUCAGAUGAGCCGAGGUCGGAUGAGCUAGUUGGUGGGGUAAAGGCCUACCAAGGCGACUAUCCGGAAAUGGUCUGAGAGGAUGAUCAGUCACACGGGAACGGAGACACGGUCCAGACUCCUACGGGAGGCAGCAGUGGGGAAGAUGGGACAAUGGGCGAAAGCCUGAUCGAGCCAUGCCGCGUGUGUGAAGAAGGUCUGCGGAUUUUAAAGCACUUUAAGUUGGGAGGCGUUACCAACAGAAUAAGCACCGGCUAACUACGUGCCAGCAGCCGCGGUAAUAC